AGUUUGAUCCUGGCUCAGGAUGAACGCUAGCUACAGGCUUAACACAUGCAAGUCGAGGGGCAGCAUUGGGGUAGCAAUACUUCAGAUGGCGACCGGCGCACGGGUGAGUAACACGUAUCCAACCUGCCGCUUACUCGGGGAUAGCCUUUCGAAAGAAAGAUUAAUACCCGAUGGUAUAAAGAGUUCGCAUGUUCUCUUUAUUAAAGAAUUUCGGUAAGCGAUGGGGAUGCGUUCCAUUAGAUUGUUGGCGGGGUAACGGCCCACCAAGUCUACGAUGGAUAGGGGUUCUGAGAGGAAGGUCCCCCACAUUGGAACUGAGACACGGUCCAAACUCCUACGGGAGGCAGCAGUGAGGAAUAUUGGUCAAUGGACGCGAGUCUGAACCAGCCAAGUAGCGUGAAGGAUGACUGCCCUAUGGGUUGUAAACUUCUUUUAUAAGGGAAUAAAGUGAGGGACGUGUCCCUUUUUGUAUGUACCUUAUGAAUAAGGAUCGGCUAACUCCGUGCCAGCAGCCGCGGUAAUACGGAGGAUCCAAGCGUUAUCCGGAUUUAUUGGGUUUAAAGGGAGCGUAGGUUGACGUAUAAGUCAGCUGUGAAAGUUUACGGCUCAACCGUGAAAUUGCAGUUGAUACUGUAUGUCUUGAGUGUACAAGAGGUGGGCGGAAUUCGUGGUGUAGCGGUGAAAUGCUUAGAUAUCACGAAGAACUCCAAUUGCGAAGGCAGCUCACUGGGGUACAACUGACACUGAGGCUCGAAAGUGUGGGUAUCAAACAGGAUUAGAUACCCUGGUAGUCCACACAGUAAACGAUGAAUACUCGCUGUUUGCGAUAUACAGUAAGCGGCCAAGCGAAAGCAUUAAGUAUUCCACCUGGGGAGUACGCCGGCAACGGUGAAACUCAAAGGAAUUGACGGGGGCCCGCACAAGCGGAGGAACAUGUGGUUUAAUUCGAUGAUACGCGAGGAACCUUACCCGGGCUUGAAUUGCAGAGGAACAUAGUUGAAAGAUUAUGGCCGCAAGGUCUCUGUGAAGGUGCUGCAUGGUUGUCGUCAGCUCGUGCCGUGAGGUGUCGGCUUAAGUGCCAUAACGAGCGCAACCCUUAUCAUUAGUUACUAACAGGUCAUGCUGAGGACUCUAGUGAGACUGCCGUCGUAAGAUGUGAGGAAGGUGGA
RNAcentral lists this ribosomal RNA (1169 nucleotides) under uncultured Bacteroides sp. Its description in RNAcentral is "bacterial SSU rRNA". It matches the Rfam family "Bacterial small subunit ribosomal RNA", at positions 10 to 1177 of the family's 1533-position model. Lineage: Bacteria; Pseudomonadati; Bacteroidota; Bacteroidia; Bacteroidales; Bacteroidaceae. The record is from RNAcentral.